GAAUUGCAGAAUCCCGCGAACCAUCAAUUCUUUGAACGCAAGUUGCGCCCGAAGCCAUUCGGCCGAGGGCACGCCUGCCUGGGUGUCGUCA
This 91-nucleotide ribosomal RNA is filed under the name Maguireanthus ayangannae. RNAcentral describes it as "partial 5.8S ribosomal RNA". It matches the Rfam family "5.8S ribosomal RNA", at positions 69 to 154 of the family's 154-position model. Rfam says of the family: 5.8S ribosomal RNA (5.8S rRNA) is a component of the large subunit of the eukaryotic ribosome. The record is from RNAcentral. Lineage: Eukaryota; Viridiplantae; Streptophyta; Magnoliopsida; Myrtales; Melastomataceae.